RNAcentral lists this ribosomal RNA (460 nucleotides) under uncultured bacterium. RNAcentral's name for it is "partial 16S ribosomal RNA". It matches the Rfam family "Bacterial small subunit ribosomal RNA", at positions 338 to 795 of the family's 1533-position model. The record is from RNAcentral.
CCUACGGGAGGCAGCAGUGAGGAAUAUUGGUCAAUGGCCGGAAGGCUGAACCAGCCAUGCCGCGUGAAGGUCAGUGCCCUAUGGGCGUUAAACUUCUUUUGUGCGGGAGCAAUAAUGGUCACGUGUGGCCAGACGAGAGUACCGUACGAAUAAGCAUCGGCUAACUCCGUGCCAGCAGCCGCGGUAAUACGGGGGAUGCAAGCGUUAUCCGGAUUUAUUGGGUUUAAAGGGUGCGUAGGCUGUGAGGUAAGUCAGCGGUGAAAUGCCCCCGCUCAACGGGGUGAAGUGCCAUUGAUACUGCCUGGCUGGAAUGCGGAAGCGGUGGGAGGAAUGUGUGGUGUAGCGGUGAAAUGCAUAGAUAUCACACAGAACACCGAUUGCGAAGGCAUCUCACGAGUCCGCGAUUGACGCUGAUGCACGAAAGCGUGGGUAUCAAACAGGAUUAGAUACCCCUGUAGUC